RNAcentral lists this long non-coding RNA (226 nucleotides) under Panax ginseng (ginseng). Its description in RNAcentral is "long non-coding RNA (PGIN_LNC000078)". Lineage: Eukaryota; Viridiplantae; Streptophyta; Magnoliopsida; Apiales; Araliaceae. The record is from RNAcentral.
AUCUUUAAUGGUCUCCAAGUUGCUUCAAUCCCCAAAAUUAAUAAGAACUAGGGUUAUUUUCUAAUCUAAAGGAGUGUUUAAUCUAGGCUAAGCUAUGUAAUCUCCCUUUAUUUUAUGCCUUACAUCAUGUAUUUAUAGAUUACAAGUCUAAUUUUUAGCUUAGGAACAAACCCAAUCCAAUUUGGAGUCAAAAAGGUAUCAAAAUUCGCCCAAAACGCGUCCAGGC